GUGGGGAAUAUUGGACAAUGGGCGCAAGCCUGAUCCAGCCAUGCCGCGUGAGUGAUGAAGGCCCUAGGGUUGUAAAGCUCUUUCAGUGGGGACGAUAAUGACGGUACCCACAGAAGAAGCCCCGGCUAACUUCGUGCCAGCAGCCGCGGUAAUACGAAGGGGGCUAGCGUUGUUCGGAUUUACUGGGCGUAAAGCGCACGUAGGCGGAUCGUUAAGUCGAGGGUGAAAUCCUGGAGCUCAACUCCAGAACUGCCUUCGAUACUGGCGAUCUUGAGUCCGGAAGAGGUGAGUGGAACUCCUAGUGUAGAGGUGGAAUUCGUAGAUAUUAGGAAGAACACCAGUGGCGAAGGCGGCUCACUGGUCCGGUACUGACGCUGAGGCUCGAAGGCCAGGGGAGCAAAAGGGAUUAGAUACCCCAGUAGUCC
Molecule: ribosomal RNA, 425 nt
Filed under: uncultured bacterium
Lineage: Bacteria
Description: partial 16S ribosomal RNA
Rfam family: Bacterial small subunit ribosomal RNA
Source: RNAcentral